UUUGGAUGGACUCGCGGCCUAUCAGCUUGUUGGUGAGGUAAUGGCUCACCAAGGCGACGACGGGUAGCCGGCCUGAGAGGGUGACCGGCCACACUGGGACUGAGACACGGCCCAGACUCCUACGGGAGGCAGCAGUGGGGAAUAUUGCACAAUGGGCGCAAGCCUGAUGCAGCGACGCCGCGUGAGGGAUGACGGCCUUCGGGUUGUAAACCUCUUUCAGUAGGGAAGAAGCGAAAGUGACGGUACCUACAGAAGAAGCACCGGCUAACUACGUGCCAGCAGCCGCGGUAAUACGUAGGGUGCGAGCGUUAUCCGGAAUUAUUGGGCGUAAAGAGCUCGUAGGCGGUUUGUCGCGUCUGUCGUGAAAGUCCGGGGCUUAACCCCGGAUCUGCGGUGGGUACGGGCAGACUAGAGUGCAGUAGGGGAGACUGGAAUUCCUGGUGUAGCGGUGGAAUGCGCAGAUAUCAGGAGGAACACCGAUGGCGAAGGCAGGUCUCUGGGCUGUAACUGACGCUGAGGAGCGAAAGCAUGGGGAGCGAACAGGAUUAGAUACCCUGGUAGUCCAUGCCGUAAACGUUGGGCACUAGGUGUGGGGACCAUUCCACGGUUUCCGCGCCGCAGCUAACGCAUUAAGUGCCCCGCCUGGGGAGUACGGCCGCAAGGCUAAAACUCAAAGGAAUUGACGGGGGGCCCGCACAAGCGGCCGAAGCAUGCCGGAUUAAUUUCGAUGCCACCGCGAAAGAACCUUUACCAAGGGCUUGGACAUG
This 767-nucleotide ribosomal RNA is filed under the name Micrococcus sp. Its description in RNAcentral is "bacterial SSU rRNA". It matches the Rfam family "Bacterial small subunit ribosomal RNA", at positions 220 to 988 of the family's 1533-position model. The record is from RNAcentral. Lineage: Bacteria; Bacillati; Actinomycetota; Actinomycetes; Micrococcales; Micrococcaceae.